This 8434-nucleotide long non-coding RNA is filed under the name Homo sapiens (human). Its description in RNAcentral is "non-protein coding LINC00599:11". The stretch from base 2196 to 2268 matches the Rfam family "mir-124 microRNA precursor family". Lineage: Eukaryota; Metazoa; Chordata; Mammalia; Primates; Hominidae. The record is from RNAcentral.
AAACACCGCCACGGCCACCACAACAAAAGGCGCCUCCCCGAAGUAGGUCUGAUGUCCGCGGGACGGGUGGGCCCGUCGUGGAGCGCACUUCUGCGCCUCUAAUCUCGGGCGUCCAUCUGGCCCGGGCGCGCUGGAGGGCUCCGGGAGGGGCGGGGCCGCGCGCCUCCCAGGCGCGGGCACGCGCGCCGGCUCUCCUUCAUGUUCACCUUGACUGCGGGGGGGCGGGGGAUGGGGCGAUCGUCCCCCUCUCCCCGACUCCUCUCCCAACCCCCCGCAGCUGUCCUGCCCAGACGCCCGCCCAGGCGGGGUGGGGGAGGCUGCACCGGCGCUCAGGUCGCCGCAGCGGCCCGGCAGCCGCCGCAGUGAUGUCAACCGCAUCCGCCGCAGUCCCCGGCAGCCCUAAAACGCGCCGCGGCCCGCGGAAACCCCAGCCCGGCUCCUCCCGCCAGGGCCGAGGAGGAGAGGACGCGCGGGUCCCCGGAGUCCCCCACUCCGUCUGCCUAAGCCGUGGAGACCGGGAGUGGACGCACGGCGGUGCCUGGACCCCCGGGGAGGUGGAAGAAGAGGAGAGGGAAGGGAGCUGUGGAGUCAGGUGUCGAUUUGACGCCCGCGGCCGCCGAGGGGACUCUGCCCGGCACUGGUGCCGCCUGGGGGGCGUUCAGGGAGCGUGGGGCGCCGACCGCUGCAGAUGCGGCGGCGCGCGUGGGCUCGGGCAGGCGCCCCCUUUUCCCGGGAUAGAAACGGAUAAACGGAAGCGCGUGUGAGUGUGGGGGUGCGAAUCGCCACCUCCGGCCUUGGCUUUCCCGCUCUUCCGAGCUCUCCCACUUCUCACUUUCCCCAAAUCCGCAUUUUCCUUGGCACAGCUCUCCCCGAGCACGAAGGAGAGGGAGGUACCCGGGGGCAGUGAGAAUGACGUGUGCUGGUGCAGAGGGGGUGGGGGUCUGCGGGCCUGGAUCUGUGGACGGGCUCCUAAUCCUCUUGUUUUCGGAACCGUCAGCAGAUGCGGCUUCCUUUACCUGAAUAAUCCUUUAAAGGAGUAAUAAUUUUUAAAAAGGAGCUCGACCUCAGCCAAAGAGGACGGCGCACGAGAUUAGGGCUUGGUAAGGAAAAAUUAAAAGGCUCCCAAUUCUCUCUGUCCCUCUCUGCCUUCCCCUCUACCCCUCCCCCUCCCUCCUCCACCCUCCCCUCCCCUCCCCCUUCUUCCUCAUCCCCUGCAAUCCGCGCUCGACGCGAGUUCACGCGAAGGGCUGGAUUUCCAGGCGGCUCCGCAACUUGCGCGGCGCGGUGUUAUUAUUCAUCCGAGGGUGCUGCCUCCUCAACCUUUGCCUCCUGCGCCGCUCUCCUUCCCCCGGCCGCCGCCGCCAGCAGUGCAGUCCCUCCGGCACGCAUGCUCUGGUUCACCAAGAGGGAGACUGAUUUUUUUUAAAUCAUGCUCAUCAUCAUCAUCAUCAUCAUCAUCAUCAUCAUCACGUUCCUUAUCAUGGUUAUCAUUUCCUCCUGCCAGGUGGAGCGACCACCAGCGCCGGCUCGCCUCCUGCGCCUUCCCCAGCGAAGGCAGCAAGCAGUUCGGGCUUGGCCGUGGCGGCCGCUCCCAGGAUGCUUCCUGCACCUCCAGCAUCCCCCCCCUUAUUCAUCUGCCUGUGUAUUAUCUCGAUCCUUUUCAUUUCAGUAGAUCCACUGCCUUUGGUUGGGCCGGCUGAAUCGCUGGGGACUGCGGCCAGUCUCUUAAAAAAGGAGAACAAAAAGCCGAAGACCUUGUGUGGCCGCCGGGACAAAGCACCUUGGGUUCGGCGAGAAGGGACGCGCAGGAGCGCUGAACCCAGAACACGCGUGGCCGCUGCGGAAGGGCGUCCGCCCGGCGUGCGGAACGCUGAGGGGACUCUCAUCCUCUGUCUCGCCCCCUUUUUUUGACCCGGGGAUCCAGCCGCAUUAUACACGAGUGACCUUUUAAAUCUACGUCCACCCUUUACCUGCGAGAGGACUGCAGCAGGCGAGUUCCGGAAGGCUGAAUCCCCAGGUCCCAGCCCCGGACCGCGGCAACUCGCCCCUGCGGCACGCCCGGCCCGGCUGCGCCCCCACUCAGCGAUGGAGGAAAAAGCCUGGAUGCGAAAGGAUGGGGGAGAACAAAGAGCCUUUGGAAGACGUCGCUGUUAUCUCAUUGUCUGUGUGAUUGGGGGAGCUGCGGAGAAAGGCCUCUCUCUCCGUGUUCACAGCGGACCUUGAUUUAAAUGUCCAUACAAUUAAGGCACGCGGUGAAUGCCAAGAAUGGGGCUGGCUGAGCACCGUGGGUCGGCGAGGGCCCGCCAAGGAAGGAGCGACCGACCGAGCCAGGCGCCCUCCGCAGACCUCCGCGCAGCGGCCGCGGGCGCGAGGGGAGGGGUCUGGAGCUCCCUCCGGCUGCCUGUCCCGCACCGGAGCCCGUGGGGUGGGGAGGUGUGCAGCCUGUGACAGACAGGGGCUUAGAGAUGCAAACAGACUCAGGGAGAGAAACAGAAGCUGAUUCUGUGACAGAAGCAGAUCUGUGCAGCACAGAUGCGGUGUGCGUGGGGAGGGGGUCGCCUGGGAGCGCAUUGCGGAGUGCUUGUGUGUGCAGAUUUUUCUCUGGGCUCAGGACUCAUUGUAUGUGGGUCAACACCUUCCUCCGUGACUGUGUUUUUGUUCUGAGCUGAGUUUUUUGGUUUGCCCUUAAAAAAAUAAUAAUUUGGCAUCCAGAGACUGGCAGACUGCCUCAGGGCCUGGACUGCGGAUAUAUUGUGUUCUGCUUGAGGUUUGGGGAGGAGGGCAGGCGGUAGGAAGGGAGAGGGGGAGCUGUUUGUCACACUUUGCUGUAGAGCUGAGAGCACCUGACAAGCUUAAGGAAGUCGUUGGGCUAUGUGGACAAGAAGGAGCCAGCUCCCAGCGGGUUCACAAGCUCUAUCGGAGUUGAAAGCGUGGUCAUGGCUCUAAGGAGCACCUCACGCCCUCCCUGUAGCUGUUAUUGCAGUUUCAGGCAGAGAUCCAGGAGCUGCAGAGGAAGGGAGAGGCACAAUAACCUACAUGGACCCAAGGGAGACAUGUGUUCCUUUAAAAAUGUGAACAGAAGGAAAAACAGAAUGUGUGCAACUGGGGGUCUGAGGAAAGACUGUUUUGAAAGAGGCUGUCAGGGAAUGGAAAGGGUUAAGCUUUUCAUCCUGAAGAACCUGCUUCCCAAAUCAGGCCUUCCUCCCAUCACUAGACCCUGAGCAGCAGCUGGUCCUAGAGACCCCCCUCGUACUGCGCUGCCACAGUCUCAUCCCAUUUCCAGCUCUGUAUUAACCACCAAGCUGCAGCGGAUGGGGCAAGACCUAAGCUCAUUAAUUUCCAGGUGGAGGAAAUGGAGGAGGGGCAGGUCCCUGCAGUAGAGGGAGGAGCAGAGAAAGGAGGCCAAGAGCUGGAUCCUUCUGCCCAGGAAGCCUGCUGCAUCCCUUCCCCCGAGCAUGGCAGAGGCCUGGCUUUGCAAGGCCAAGGCCAUAAGGGAUGCUUAGGAGAUUAAUUUGAUUCCUGACACAAUAAUCAAGCCCUAAGAGUCUCCACUGAAGCUUACUGAGGACUUCUUUCCUCUCCAAAGCCUCAGUCUAGCCUGCUAAAUAAAUUAGUAUUCAGUGAUGCCUUGGAUCAGGGCCCCUCCCCGGCCUCAGUUUCCCCAAAUAUUUAUUAAGUACCUACUGUGUGCAAUCCUUGUGUAAUUAUUAACUCUUAGGCUCUUCAUUUGCCCUCCUAAAGCAGUGUUUAGAGUCAGGCAGAGGUUAAGUGUGUUGCACCUCACCUAGAUACUUCCAGAACCUUCUCUGGGUCUGCAGAAUGUGGCACAACCUGCUUGCCCCCGCAGAGAGAAAGCUGCAGUGCACAUCCUGCAGACUGCAGGUGCUGGGCUGCCUCUGGAGUCCCAGAAGGCAAGCUUGGCUGCAGGACAGAAAGGGAGAACAGCUUCUCUCACCCCUGAGCCUUCACAAGCCCUUGUCUAUUUGCCGUUGCCUUCAAAAUAUACCUCCCCCGAAACCAGUAGCUUUCUGAGUCCUGGUGUCCCCUCCGCCCUUUCUGGACAGGUUUGGGAAGAAGAAAGCAGUCAGUGCUGGGCCUUAUUGGGGUGUGAAGCGCCUUGCUCUGCCCCUUCUGCUCACUGUGAAGGCCGCUGGAUGCUUCUCUUAGGCAUGGUUUAAGCCUCCGAUUACUAAACCCCUUGCCCCACAAACGUCCACAUUGACGAGCCUCUUUUUAGUAACUGCUUCCCCGUAAUUCCUUCAGAGGUUGCUGUACCCUUCGCUGAUGUGCUGCCCUCCUGUAAAACCUCCAGAUGCCUUCCCACGUAAUGCCCCUUUCAGAUGCUUUAAGCUGAGAGCUUAAACCACAGGUACCAUGGCUGACGCCUGCCAGGUUUCUGCUGCAGAUAAUCUAUGAUGGGAGGGGCAUAUUUUUUACUUCAUUACUUAUGUAAACUCUUGUUCCAGAAAGCUUUAAUGUGUGUGGGAGUGUUCUGGGUCUAUUAGGUCUGUGCGCAUGGGUGUGGGCAUUUGCCUGUGUCCACCGGGUGGGUCUCAUUAUGAAAUGUAUGUUUAUGUAGGGCUUUAAUGGCUGAAAAUGGCAAAGAGAUGAAUAGACCACUUGGCCCCAUGUGUAAUUGCCAGGCCCCUUCUGUGCUCAAAUGAGGUGUCCGAGUGAAGGUCAGCCCUUCCCUUCUGUAUUUGGGGCCUAUUUAUGCCACCAGUAAUUUUAUAAGAAAUCUGAAUAGUUCUCCCCUUUGAGUGCAUUUAACUCUUUAGUAUCUUCUCUCUUACCUAUUUGAGCCCCUCUAGCUACAGUCUGGCUUAAAUGAAAGGGGAAUUAUAUGCUUAAGAAAAAGUAGGACACGGUUGAGGCAGUUUGCUGACUGAAUACGCGAAGAAGGACCUGAUGGGCUCAUAUGCACCACUGCCAUCACAGUCCCCAUCGUGAUGCAAGCUUAUAUGAUUCUUGAGAAACAGCCCAGAUCUCCUCUUAAGCGGAAAAGAGAUUGACCUUCUAGCAGAGGCAAAGGUAAACUCCUAAUGGAGUCUUCUGGGGGCAGCUGCAAAGCGUUCUCCCUAGGACAGAUGGAGCCUCCCUUUCCUCAUCUACUCUGUGGGUGGUUUCAGGGCCCACGAGUCAACAUGAGGAGUUGUGCUGGUGGUAUGUGUGUUGGAGGCUGGGCUGGCUGAUUCACAGUGACGAGGAUGUCAAUAAUAACAAGAAUGAGAAUGAUGGUACCUAAUAAAGACUUUUUUUCCCAAGUCCCAUCUACAAUUCUUUCAUUGGGUGUUUUGCCAAGUCUUUCUCAAUCUCAUCUCAGCUUUUUUUUUUUUUUUAAAGAAAAUGUAUUCAAUACUUAAUUGCAUCACAAAUGUAGACAUAGAAGAAAGGACUUCAAACGGAAUUUAUGGGAGGCAAUGUGUGCGGCUUUUUGCCUUAUAGAGCUGUGUAGAAGGUCUGGAAUGAUCUUCCAGCACCAAAUUUAGAUGGCCUCAAAAAAAAAAAAAAAAAAAAAAAAAUCAGGCCUUAUUGAGGGCAAGGAAUGUUCCAGGUCAGAAAUAAAAGUGUCAGCAACUCUCAAUAGGUUCAUCUUUUUAUUUCCUGUCCUUCUCCCUUUUGUCUUAAAAUAGAAACGCUACCAAGACCUGAGGGCCUGGGUCAGGGGCCGGGAAGCCCAGAAAACAAACUUCCAGAAUCACUAAGGGCUUUCUCUCUCAAAAUUACAGUGGGAGGGUUCUUUUGAAAUUCAAAUCCAACCUAUUUGUUGCUUAAGCACACACAAAAUACUGAGACCUGGGGUCCAAGAGGCAAUACUUCCGCUGCAAGUGCAUGUUGCAACUUCGCGUGAUGUUCCCAGGGCGGUUCUGCGGCAACUUGCGGCUCCGCGACUGUGGGCGCGGGCCCCAUUUCGGGCCCCGUCGGCCGGGACCGCGCCCAGGGCUUCUCAAGUGACUCGCUUCCCAGCACGCAAGAGGCAUUCUCGUCUCUUUCUCUUCGAAUGCACCCGAGACUUCUCCAUGAAGCAAGGAGAAGAUGAGCAGGCGCUGGUUUCCCUUUUCUUUUUUGCUCCCAUUUCCCAGUCUUGAUUUUUUUUUUCCCUUUCUCUCUCUCUCCCGAAUCAUGCAGACCUGGAACUCCUAAGAUUCGGGUCCUCCUGCAGUUCCCAAAGCUUUGGAUCCAUCCGAGGUGUGGGUAGAUGCGGGUUAGUCUCAGGGUCUUUCUAGGAUGAGCCCCAAGCCCAAGUUCUAAGGCGAGGGGGAGGCGAAGAGGUCAGGGCUACAAACGCCAGGGACUGUCCCCGGAGAGGUCAUUUUUCCAUUUUCCAUGCACAUCGAUUUCACUCUAGCGCCAGAUGGACACUCGACGGUCAACGUUAGAGAUUUUUCCGGAGUCGGGGGCAGGAAGCGGGACGAAUUGAGACGAGGGUACAUCCUUUGCUUCCAAGGGUGGCCGAGCCAGACCGAAGGCCUGGGCGGGAGGUCACGUCCUCCCCUGGCCACCCACAGCGCUCCCCAGCCGCAGGCCUGGGCCUAGAAGCCGCGCCCUCCCGGCCGUGCAGCCGGUCAGCCUGUGCGCCCGGCGCCCGCAGUGCGGCUCCGGGCCUCUCUCUGAUCCACUUCAGUACCUGCGGCCUCGAGGACCCCACCGUGCAUCCCGGAAAGCCUCAGAACUUGCAAGAAAGAGGGGCUGGCAGGUGCAGCCUGGGAAGAGGACCCCGCCGCGAAAGCGCUUGGGGGUUGGGUUUUAUUUGCUGGAGUGGGGGGUCCGUCUCAGUGCAUCCUCCUGGAUUCCCCAUUAGGACGCCCCGCCCAUACAUCCAGCCUCCUCUCCCGGAUACCCCCAGUGACCCGGCCAGGGAGCGGGCAUCUUCCCCCAGGACCCAGAGACGUGUCCUCGCCAUCCCCAAACACCGUCCUUCCCCACCCCCGCAACCCUCUCCACAGAAGCCAAAACCACAACAAAAAUCUUCAACCCACAAAGAAAAAGACACAUUCCUCCUUCGGCCUUAGUCAGCGUUAGUUCCAGAUCCGAAGCCGGAGGGGACGGAGCCGCUCGAAGUCGGUUGGAAGGAAGGCGCAGAAGGCUCUUUCUGUCUCCAUGAAUCUCCUUGCAAAUGCAACCGCUGCUGCCAUUAGGACGCGGUCUCUGUUUGCAAAAAAAACUCAAUUCCUUCCAUUUCCUCAUCUGUUGGGUCCAUCAGCGUGCAGUGAGUGAUGCAAGGUCCCUUUGGGUCAACAGGCCGUCCCCUGAAAUAACUUUCAGAGCCCUGGCCUCAAGGUCAUGGGCCGGGUGGCCUCUACAGGCCACAGGUCAGGACCAGGAUGUGCCUGACUGAGGCUGUGCCACCGAGAGCUUCGGACGUGCAGAAAGGUGCCCUGAGCUGCACGGGGGGCUUCUGUCAGCCCCCUCCCACUCUACACAGAUUGAUGUGGCAAUAUUUAUUCCCAUUUAAUUGAGACACUGGUUUAAUUUCAGAUUGCUUCGGCUUAAGGCCCAAUGGGGUUUUCUGCAGCUCUUUUCCCCAGUGCCUCUACAGAAAUUAAUUGCUGUUAAUAUCCAAUUUUGGCUUUAUUAUUCGUUAGCCAAUUAUGUAUCCCAUAGCCCAGGCCCCUUGCUGCUCUCAGCCUUUGCUGGAAUCAGCUCACACUAUGCCGGGCUUCUGCUUUUCUGCCUUCCCCUCUAUUCAAACUCUGUCCUCCCAAGAUGAUUUACCGGCCCGUCAGGCAUUUUGCUUGUGUCCCAGCGCUAGCUGAGCUGGCGGAGGUGUCUUUAAGACGUUUUCCCCCUUUUGAGGGAAAUGUCUUCUUUGCAGUGGACAUAAUUUCCAUUUAAAAAGGAAUCUAAGCUUCUCCACUCUCGCUUCACUAUCCUAAGAUUUGCUUUCUCUGGAGCCAUUUUUGGAGAGCAGUUUUCCAUCAAAAGCAAGCAAGGUGCCCCGGCAUCAGGGCUCCCCUCCCCACCUCCCUAGGAGCCCCUCCGAGACUGUCUUAAAGCCACCACAUAUACAUAACACCAUAGAUUCAAACAGGGUGCUUGGAGGAUGUCAUUCCACAUUUCAAGGAGGGAAACUUGAAAAAGCACUAUUUUCAGAGAUGAGGAGGGCAGCUCUCCCCUCGUCCCCCACAGAGGCCCUGGAAACCAUUCCAGCCUUGCACUGCGCAACCCUGCUUGAUGGAGCUGAUGCAACUGGGGGCGAGAGCCUUUAAAAAGUGUUCUUUUGCCUUGGUUUUUUGUGCCUUGAGUUCACAGAAGCAAACACUUCCCAUCACUGGUGCUCUGGAAACAGAAACAUACAAGUGAGAAUCCUAACGACAGCAGAGGCCCUUCUUUGUCUGCUUCCUCUCCUUCCCCCCUUGGAAAGAAUGCCUCCCAUGCCUUAAUGUGCCCUCACACUUAUCUCUAGCAGUUCCGUAACAACCUGCGCAGUGUC